AAGAAUGACAAAACGCAAGCCAAUGCCUUGGAUUUUCCUUGUCCUGUUCUAUUUUUCAUCACUUUUUUCUAUCUUUUUUUGUUUCUGUUAAUUAUUUGUUGGGUUGUAAUUGAUUACAAGAAAGUUGGGUUGA
Molecule: non-coding RNA, 133 nt
Filed under: Palpitomonas bilix
Lineage: Eukaryota
Source: RNAcentral